Molecule: ribosomal RNA, 497 nt
Filed under: uncultured bacterium
Lineage: Bacteria
Description: partial 16S ribosomal RNA
Rfam family: Bacterial small subunit ribosomal RNA
Source: RNAcentral
GAUGAACGCUGGCGGCGUGCCUAAUACAUGCCAGUCGAGCGAACGGACGAGAAGCUUGCUUCUCUGAUGUUAGCGGCGGACGGGUGAGUAACACGUGGAUAACCUACCUAUAAGACUGGGAUAACUUCGGGAAACCGUAGCUAAUACCGGAUAAUAUUUUGAACCGCAUGGUUCAAAAGUGAAAGACGGUCUUGCUGUCACUUAUAGAUGGAUCCGCGCUGCAUUAGCUAGUUGGUAAGGUAACGGCUUACCAAGGCAACGAUGCAUAGCCGACCUGAGAGGGUGAUCGGCCACACUGGAACUGAGACACGGUCCAGACUCCUACGGGAGGCAGCAGUAGGGAAUCUUCCGCAAUGGGCGAAAGCCUGACGGAGCAACGCCGCGUGAGUGAUGAAGGUCUUCGGAUCGUAAAACUCUGUUAUUAGGGAAGAACAUAUGUGUAAGUAGCUGUGCACAUCUUGACGGUACCUAAUCAGAAAGCCACGGCUAACUACGUG